GUGUAGCUCAGUGGUAGAGCACUUACAUGACAUGCAUGAGGCCCUGAGUUCUAUUCUUAGCAC
Molecule: transfer RNA, 63 nt
Filed under: Heterocephalus glaber (naked mole-rat)
Lineage: Eukaryota; Metazoa; Chordata; Mammalia; Rodentia; Bathyergidae
Rfam family: tRNA
About the family: Transfer RNA (tRNA) molecules are approximately 80 nucleotides in length.
Source: Rfam by way of RNAcentral